RNAcentral lists this microRNA precursor (74 nucleotides) under Myotis davidii. Its description in RNAcentral is "mir-9193 microRNA precursor family". It matches the Rfam family "mir-9193 microRNA precursor family". Lineage: Eukaryota; Metazoa; Chordata; Mammalia; Chiroptera; Vespertilionidae. The record is from Rfam by way of RNAcentral.
CGGGGGGAGGGAGGGUCCCUCAGCCCAGAUUGUGAGAGGGUGCAGGCCAGGCCGAGGGACCCCACCGGUGCACU